CAGUGUUCCCUGCCCUCACGGGUAGGAUCGCCCACCCUUGAAUAUGAUGUUUGUUGCUUUGGCGGGCCUCGAGGUCUAGCCGCGCCUCCGCUUCGGUGGGGGAGCGCCCGCCAAAGGACCCCAAACCCUGAAUAUUAGUGUCGUCUGAGUCUAUAUAAUACUUA
This 164-nucleotide unclassified non-coding RNA is filed under the name uncultured Helotiales. RNAcentral's name for it is "sequence contains ITS1". Lineage: Eukaryota; Fungi; Ascomycota; Leotiomycetes; Helotiales. The record is from RNAcentral.